RNAcentral lists this ribosomal RNA (533 nucleotides) under uncultured bacterium. Its description in RNAcentral is "bacterial SSU rRNA". It matches the Rfam family "Bacterial small subunit ribosomal RNA", at positions 777 to 1304 of the family's 1533-position model. The record is from RNAcentral.
AAUAGAUACCCGGGUAGUCCACGCCGUAAACGUUGGGCGCUAGAUGUGGGGGACCAUUCCACGGUUUCCGCGUCGUAGCUAACGCAUUAAGCGCCCCGCCUGGGGAGUACGGCCGCAAGGCUAAAACUCAAAGGAAUUGACGGGGGGCCCGCACAAGCGGCGGAGCAUGCGGAUUAAUUCGAUGCAACGCGAAGAACCUUACCAAGGCUUGACAUAUGCGAGAACGCUCUAGAAAUAGAGAACUCUUUGGGACACUCGUAUACAGGUGGUGCAUGGUUGUCGUCAGCUCGUGUCGUGAGAUGUUGGGUUAAGUCCCGCAACGAGCGCAACCCUCGUCGCAUGUUGCCAGCACGUAAUGGUGGGGAACUCAUGUGAGACUGCCGGGGUCAACUCGGAGGAAGGUGGGGAUGACGUCAAAUCAUCAUGCCCCUUAUGUCUUGGGCUUCACGCAUGCUACAAUGGCCGGUACAAAGGGCUGCGAAACCGCAAGGUGGAGCGAAUCCCAAAAAGCCGGUCUCAGUUCGGAUUGAGGU